AUAAGUUAAGAAGUCAGCCUGAACCAAAGUCUGAGACUCGAGUCGACUCCAGAGUAUCACGAGUCGACUCCAAGCGUAUCAAGUUCACUGGCACGGGCUCGAGUCGACUCCGGAUAAGUACGAGUCGACUCCGACUUAGAACAGACAGACGAACAGAAAGCAUCAACUCAAAACCUGUCAGCGAGUCGACUCCUGAAGUGCGCGAGUCGACUCC
Molecule: long non-coding RNA, 214 nt
Filed under: Phoenix dactylifera (date palm)
Lineage: Eukaryota; Viridiplantae; Streptophyta; Magnoliopsida; Arecales; Arecaceae
Description: long non-coding RNA (PDAC_LNC022771)
Source: RNAcentral